UACGGAGGGUGCAAGCGUUAAUCGGAAUUACUGGGCGUAAAGCGUGCGCAGGCGGUUUGUUAAGUCCGUUGUGAAAGCCCCGAGCUCAACUUGGGAAUUGCAGUGGAUACUGGCAGGCUGGAGUACGGUAGAGGAAGGUGGAAUUCCCGGUGUAGCAGUGAAAUGCGUAGAGAUCGGGAGGAACACCAGCGGCGAAGGCGGCGACCUGGACAAGUACUGACACUCAACUACGAAAGCGUGGGUAGCAAACAGG
Molecule: ribosomal RNA, 253 nt
Filed under: uncultured bacterium
Lineage: Bacteria
Description: partial 16S ribosomal RNA
Rfam family: Bacterial small subunit ribosomal RNA
Source: RNAcentral